This 451-nucleotide ribosomal RNA is filed under the name uncultured bacterium. RNAcentral describes it as "bacterial SSU rRNA". It matches the Rfam family "Bacterial small subunit ribosomal RNA", at positions 354 to 796 of the family's 1533-position model. The record is from RNAcentral.
GUGGGGAAUAUUGGACAAUGGGCGCAAGCCUGAUCCAGCCACGCCGCGUGUGUGAUGAAGGCCUUCGGGUCGUAAAGCACUGUGGAGGGGGAAGAACAAGUUUCAAGCUAAUAUCUUGGGACCCUGACGGUACCCCUUUAGCAAGCACCGGCUAACUCCGUGCCAGCAGCCGCGGUAAUACGGAGGGUGCAAACGUUGCUCGGAAUCAUUGGGCGUAAAGCGCGUGUAGGCGGUUCGUUAAGUCGAAUGUGAAAGCCCUGGGCUCAACCCAGGAAGUGCAUUCGAUACUGGCGAACUAGAGUACAGGAGAGGAUAGUGGAAUUCCCGGUGUAGAGGUGAAAUUCGUAGAUAUCGGGAGGAACACCAGUGGCGAAGGCGGCUAUCUGGACUGAUACUGACGCUGAGACGCGAAAGCGUGGGGAGCAAACAGGAUUAGAUACCCCUGUAGUCC